This is a long non-coding RNA of Acyrthosiphon pisum (pea aphid), 787 nucleotides long. RefSeq lists it as uncharacterized. The transcript is spliced from 2 exons. The record is from RefSeq and is a predicted model, not a curated record. NCBI's taxonomy places the organism in Eukaryota, Metazoa, Arthropoda, Insecta, Hemiptera, Aphididae.
UUAGGCUGUGAUACAUUAUUCACUCGAGCCGCUUGGGUUUUGACAGUAAUUUUUUUUUUUAUAGCUAUUACGAUAACGAUUUUUAUAUGUGGAUAUAGGUACGCUUGUACCUACAUAAUUCUGGUUAUCUUUAUUAUUUCGUAUAUUAAAAUGUUAGCUACAGCUGUUUAGGUAGAUACCAUAUUUUCCCUGAAAUUAUGACGUUAACGAUUACGAAAUCUAUUAUUUGUGAUAAUAAUAGCGUUCGGCCAUUCGAAGAACGUAGGUAGGUACAUUAGCGCAGCAAAAGUUGAUAAACUGACAAUCACUUUUCAGCCGUCGCGCCUGUCGAACCCGAAUGUCUAUUCAGGUUAGUAAAAUUUAUAAUAAUUAUUUUAAAUCGUUUUCAUUCUUAAUUUACAAAGAUUUUAUCCAUAUUAUUUGACUCAUAAUAAUAUGUAGUUAAUUUAAAAUGUAACCUAAGUAAAUGAUUUUGUAUCGUGAAUGUAAUUUUACGUACUUUUUCAAAUCUUAAGAGAAUAAAAACUUAUUUGAGGAACACCUUUGGAGAAAAAAGAUUAAAUGGUCUGGCUAUGAUGUGUAUUCAUAAAGAUUUAAAAUUAACGGCUGACGAAGUUUUGGAUAAAUUAGUAAAAAAAAAACGAAAAAUUGAUUUUGUGUUGUAAUAGUUGUAACUAAAAUGCUGUUUUUUUUUAUGUAAGAAUUAAAUUUUAUUUAGUAAUUAUUCAUGGGUUAAACUUUUUUGCCUUUAUACAUUAUGAGAUAAUGUUAAAGGACCCCCCCCCCC